Molecule: long non-coding RNA, 5391 nt
Organism: Felis catus (domestic cat)
Lineage: Eukaryota; Metazoa; Chordata; Mammalia; Carnivora; Felidae
Exons: 2
Source: RefSeq, a predicted model, not a curated record
CCCUAUGAGGUCAGUGCUUGGAGGGCAUUUGAUGGAUGAGGCUCAGAGAGAGUAAGCGAGUUGCCCAAGGUCACACAGCUAGGGCAGGAUGCAGCAAAAACUGGGGCUCAAGGUCUGGGGGACCUGAAGACCCGCAUGUCUUGCGGCCUUUCCUGCUCCAGGCUGGCCGCCCUUGACCCCAGCGCGUCAGCUCUCAGUUUAACUUUCAGCACCUUCUCCCAUUAGGUGUCUGUCUCUGAGGUCCCACCCCGACCAAAUCAAAUCAUUUUGUAUUACUUGGUUUCCUUUUCCCUGCCCCCGUUGGUCCCUUUCCAGAACCCUGGCUCACGUAUUUCCCUGCAUUUCCCCUAUAUGCGUACAGAGUUCUUUCCCACCCCGACAUCCCCCACGGUGGCUUCUCAGGACACACAGCAAGAAAGAAGUCCCACGGGUUUCGAACGGAGUAGGGGUCUCCACUGCCAUCCCCUGCCGCAGAUCAGCAAGCGGGGGCCCAGAGAGGCAGGGUGACGUGCUGAGGCCACACAGCUGGUGGCCUGCCUGGGAAUCUAGGUGUGCUUCUAAACGCCAGUGUGUCCCUGAGCACAAGGUGCUUACGGGGCGUCUGGUGGUCCAUCCUGCUGUCCAGAUUCCCGUGGGCAAAGAGCCACGUGUGACCUCACCGAGGGGUGGAGCCGUGGCCCCUGUCUUUAUCAGCGUUUGGCAAAACGAAUUCCAAUCUCUUGCCAUGUGUCUGCGGAGGGGGACGAAGGGAACAACUGCCCAGGGGGGCUGGGCGCCUGAGAAAGGUCUGCCCCACCUUCCCGUCAUCCCCAGCUGUUCUCCAGGAGCCAGACCUGUGCUUCUCCAGGCCGUGGCUCACGCCCGCGUUGACACUUAAGGCCUACAAAGCCCUCGGAGGGCAGGCUCCGCCAGGGGCCCGGGGGCCAGGAAAAUGCAGGCCCUGCUCCACUGUCGCCCGGCAACGCCACACACAAACAUUCGCUGCCGGGAAGAGGCGAGCGGCAUUAAAGCCGCCUGACGGGGAGGUGAUGGGGCAGCAGGGAGAGGCGGAGGUAGACAGUGUGUAAUUGCCAAGCCGGAAGGCUGGCCUGUGGCCAGCGCAUCGAGUUUAACCGUCUGUGUCACUGCCCUCCACGUUCAAGGAGAAUGCUGCCUGCGGCCAUGAUUCCGGGCUGAGGGCCCUGUCGCGGUCUGGCCUGGGCCGACCCUGGGAGGGCACACGUGGGGUCAGCUCUUGGUGCGGGUUCCCACCCCUCCAUCACAUCACAUCACAGCCCGGGCAGCUGCGCCCGGACCCGGGUGUGGAAGGGGAGGCCAGCCCCGGCUCCGGGGCGCCCCUCCACGGGCGCCCCUGCACGUCUGAACAGGGCCUCGGGUCCCCUCCUCCCUCUGCCCUGCCCCUGCGGCCGUGGGCUCGCUGCUUUGGAAACGGCUUCCAAGGAGGGAACGGGCUCGCGGAGGAUCUUUUGCUCGACCACAGCCCCCUGUCCCUGAUGGGCUGCUCCAGCAGACCAGGCAGAGCUCAGCCGAAGCCGGGAGCCAACACGGAGACCCUGAGGCUUUCAGAUGUGGACGAGAAAAUUGGGGCUCGGGGACGCUCUAAGUAAAUCUCCUGGCGUCAGGGGAAUAGUCUCUGUCUUGCUGACAUCACCAGGAUUUGGCCCCUUCGGUGAAGUUCAUCGAUCGAACAAAUCGUACAUCACCGGCGGAGCUCAAGAGUCCCAGGUGAACAGCCACGUCCAACGUGGUAAGAGACAUGAUGCUAUUAAGCAUAGGUGACUGUGCAUUCUCCCAACUGGAGAAGGUGACCGUGUUGGGGAAGGUUCUGGAGAAGUGACACUGCCCUGCUGGUCAGUUGGUCAAGACACAGACAUGGGCCCCCAGAGGACAUACGCAAACUUCUUAGGUCUUCUCCAGGCUGGCUCUCACGGUUGUUCCCCUGUAAGCUUGGCCACGCACCCAUAUUUUUUCUUAUCUUCCAUACAGACGCAAGAUCAGUAACAUCCAUUUUAGAGACAAGGAAACCAAAGUGCAAAGGGAUCCAGACUCGGCCCUUUUGUCGCCGUUCUGAACUUUGAAGAGCCUUCUUCACUCUAGAGCUCCUUGUGGGACCCAUCAAGGCCACUCAGCUUUUCCCCUGCUCGAUCUUCUCCCCUCACUCUGACUCAAGAGUUGACCUGGAGACCACAGCCUAGUAAACCUCCUCCAUGCCAGUUUCCAUCUCAAAAAAGUCUGCAUCCUAGAGAACCUCGUCUGACUUUGGUAGCCUGUGAAUAACAAAACAUCCAAAUUAACAGUGACCUAAAUAUGUCAGAAAUCAAUUUCUCACGUAAGGGUCUCGAGUCCCAGGCUGGUAAGGUAACUGGGAUGGGGAUUGUAAGAUCUAGGUGUAAGUAACUCAGGGUUCAAGAUGGCUGCUCGAGCCGCCCAUCGGGUCCCUUUUCCAGCGUGCACGGAGGAGAGAGCAAAGAGGGAGGCACUGGUUUCUCCAGAUCGCACUCCGGAAGUUGCUUUGGCUCGGAUCCCAUAAAUCAGACUUGCUCGCAUGGCCACACAUGGCUGCAAGCCGAGGCUGGGACAUACAGCCUUUACUGGGGGAGCGGGGCACAUAUCUGGUGAAAAACUGGGGGUUUUAUGUCUCAGGGAGAAGGGGAGGAUGGAUAUUUGCAACAAGUACCAGGUUCUGGAUGUGUGCCCCCCUGCAAAGCUACCUGGGGCUGUUUGGAGCACCAGGGAGGGCAGAGGCUGUGUGUGGACUUCCUGGCACUUGGGGAGCACUCCUGCCGGUCUUUGGAGAUCACCCCCUCAACUCUACACCUUGGUUUCGAUCCCCGAGGACCAGGACCGUCUGCUCUUGCUCCACGGGCCCUUCGGCCUUGCUUGGGGCCUCCCUGAAGGGCCAAAUCACCUCACCCCCUCCCUCCCAGAAGCUCCCAGGGGAAGAAUGACUUCUCCUCUCACCUGCCCCCUCCCUGUCGCUUUGAUCUUGUGGCUCCUUAAGUGAGCGUCUUUCAGUCCCUCCUAGGGCAAAGAGGCAUCCCUUGUUUACCCACAAAUAAUUAACUGCCAUAGUCAUUUAACAUAUACACAGACGGCAUCACCGUAAUUACAGAAAAUACAUUACACAUCGGGUACACGGAAUGGGGGCAGUUCACCAGCCAGUGAGGCCUGGAAUCAGAGGUGAAUGGAUGUAUCAGCUGGCCCUGGGUUUUAUCCCCAUCCCCGGCUGGGCCCCUUUGUGCACUGCCAAGCCUCUGUCCACGCCUUGUAGGCCAUGAAGCUGUGAUGAGUGGCCCUCUCUGGGCUCGUGUGUAUACAGCCGAGCCUACCCCCGCGUUCCUCGUUUCGCUGAGGCAGUAGAAACAGUGGGUUUGGGGAGGGCUGUGCCAUUGACCAGAGGAGAGGAAGCCACGGAACAGGGUGGAGAGGAAGGGGCUGGGGAGGGGAAGGGGAGGGAGGAGAAAGACAAGGACUAACCGAAGGAGGCGUGCGCAAAGGCAGAGGGAGGGGUCCAGAACGCCUUCCUUAGGGUGCUUACCCGCAAGGGAAAACAAUGGGGAACGUCUAUAGCUGGGCGUAAAAAGGGUGCACUGAGCCCAGCGGUUCUGAUUCAGUGGGUCCGGGUGGGGUCUACCUCACUUCCGGAUGCUGCUGCCGCCGCCGGUCCGAGGACCACACUUUGAGUAGGAAGGGUUCACAGUAAUUUUCAAAUCCAUUCUCUUCUUUGAUCCUCACCGUGACCCUGUUUUAUAGCCGAGGGAAUUGAGGCUCACGGGUGCCAAGUGCCUUGUGGGAGGUCCCGGGCCAGCCAGCCCGUGGCUUUCUGUUUAGUAUGGGGAGCCGUGUCUCCGGGUGAGCUGGACAACCCUUGUGAAUGUCGGGGGCUGGGGAGGACAGGUCCAGCUCAGGGGGUCAGAGAAUGCCUGGCAUGUGUCCUGCAUGGGAGCCCAGAGGUCUUGUUCUGGAACACGAAGAAGCCAAGGCGCACGCAGGAAAGAAAUGGCUGGGGGUGCUUAACGCAGGAUAGGAUUAAACAGAGGAGCAGACUAUGAUCUGUUAGCCUGGGCCAAGCUGGACUUGGUUACCCAGCCGUUUGCCAGGCAUUGCUCAACCCGAGUAUUGGUUGUUUCUUGCAAAAUAUUCACACUUCAUAAGAUCAGAUCCUUGAGAGAGAGACAGAGCACAAGCAGGAAAGGGGCAGAGAGAGAGAGAGAGAGAUACACGAAUAGGAAGCAGGCUCCAGGCUCUGAGCCGUCAGCACAGAGCCCGACGCGGGGCUCGAACCCACGAACCGCGAGGUCAUGACCUGAGCUGAGGUCGGACGCUUAACCGACCGAGCCAGUCAGGCGCCCCUGUAAAUGUCUCGAGGAAGGGCAUCCUCUGGGUAGGGGGUGGGGGGUGUGCGCCGAGAGAGGCGGUAAACGAGGUAAUGCAUGCAAAAAGCUUAGCAUUGUGCUGUGGGCUCACUGUGCAACAGUCAUUGUGAGUUAUCUUAAUAAAUCAGACAGGCAUCUUGAAGUCUGAUGGAAGGGCUUAGUGGCAAGGACCUCCCUGCCAUGGGUCAGCAACACCUCCGAGAACCACCAGUGAGGAGCCUUACGGAUGUUGUCAGUUCUUACAGAACUGAGAAUUCACCAGGGAGAUGCCAAAUUACAAACAGACCCCUAAGGAAUGAGCGAAUUCAGGGGUCCGCGAGGGGCCCAUAUUGGCUAGAGGUGGGGUGGACCCUCUGGGAAGGCGGUGCGGAGGGAGGAGGAGAAAAACGACAUGGGCUCUCCGAGAAGGUAGAUGCCAGAAGAGGACGAAACGUGCAAGGAUUUUACUGGGGGACGUUUCUGUGAGAGAAACAGGGAGGAGCUGGGCAAGGCUGAGAGAGCCCCCGAAAGGCUGUGAUGCCCUCUGACCUGAGAGAGGGCAGGGAGGUGGGCAGGAGCAGCCUAGACUUUCCCGAAGUCUCCGGAAGGUUCAACAAAGCCGGCAGACUGUCCUCAAACGAGCCAGCCACCAGGGGAGUCCUGUUUCCCGAAGGCACAUGACCCCCGUAGCACCAAGCCUUGCUCGGUCAGUGGCCGGGGUGGCCAGUGGGAAGCGCUGUCUUGGCCCGAGGGCUGGUUAGAUCUCAGAGCUCGGCAGCUGGGACCCUGUGCGGUUUUGGUCCCUGGAGUUGGAGGGCUGUGAGGCCGAGCUUCCAGAACUGUCGCUUUCCAAUAAGCUGCCUACCGGAAGGGAAAGCCCUUGAACUCUGUUGGCACAGGGGCCCCAAGCCAACCGCAGUGCCUCCCGUGUGGUUGCCCCUCUAUAAACAUUUGUUAACUGAUUGCGAGACCAGAAGCCAAAUCCUGCCGUCCUGAAGUGCCCGCUUGCCUUUUACUAAAUGUGCCCUCAAAACGA